UUCCAAAGUGUUGAGUUCAGUUCAGGGCAACUUCCCUGUUCUGUUAAUUAAACUUUGGGAAAUUGAAAUGGGCUAGGGUAAGUGUUUGGAUAGAAAAGUACUGUUCUAUUCAUUUAUGUCCUGGCCUACAAAA
This is a small nucleolar RNA of Dasypus novemcinctus (nine-banded armadillo), 133 nucleotides long. NCBI's taxonomy places the organism in Eukaryota, Metazoa, Chordata, Mammalia, Cingulata, Dasypodidae. The record is from Ensembl.